UUCUUUCACUCAUGGAAAGGGGAGAUAUCGUUACGACGGCAAGUUAUACACAAGUUUGUAUCUUUUAAGUGAAGCAUUGUAGUCGUGUUUUGUCAAAGAGGGAGAAUUAAAGAACAAAGCUUUAUGAGAAAGAUUACGGAGCUUUAAGAAAUUCACCAAGGAUCAACUAAUCAUGGAAUCCAAAGAAUUCUGGUCAGGCCUCGUAUGAGAACAACAUGAGUUAAAGUCCGUUGACAGUGACACUGAUCAAAAUUCUUCUCAGGUGUAAGAACGCCACCAUAGCCAUCUAGGUAGGAGCAUUUAGGUGGAAAACAACACACAGAAUGCCACCAUGGGCUUCUUGGUGGUUAUUUGGCCACUGUCACUGAUACCCAUUGACCAUUAAUCAAAAUCAGCAAAUCAAAAAAUGGAGAAAACAAUGAAAAGGUGCAUGUAUCAAUACAGGUGUAAGAAGAAGGAAUGUCUCACUACCUGAAUUGAGAUUCCACAAAUUUAACACCUCUUCACAGAGCAAGAAUUGAUCACUCACUACAAGAAAAACCGCCUGAGGUGGCGGUUGUGCAUUUGAGCCGGAUUUUGAGCCGGCCUAAAUCCCAUUCAAAUCCGGGAAAAAAGAAUGAAACACUCUGAAAAAACUUUCAGACUUCCCGCGUUCGUAAUCUCUCUCUCUCGGUCUUGAUCAAAACUUUCUCACCACCGGAUGGCAACCAGAGAACGGCGAUGGAAUUAACAGGUGAGACUCUCUCUCUCUCAGUCUUGAUCAAGACUUUCUCACCACCGGACAAUAGCCAGAGAAUGAUGCUAACAUUAACAGGUUUCUGAACUGAAGGGGGAAGAUGUAGUUUGCAUGAUAAAGAACUCUGGUACAUUGGCUGGGUCAUUGUUCACAUUGCAUGUUUCUCAAAUCCAUAUUGACCUGCCUACCCUGACUGAUAAAGAUAAAGAAGUAAUAAGUACAUGGGGUGUCAGAAACUAUUGCUUUUUUGUCUU
Nelumbo nucifera (sacred lotus) is the source of this 990-nucleotide non-coding RNA. Lineage: Eukaryota; Viridiplantae; Streptophyta; Magnoliopsida; Proteales; Nelumbonaceae. The record is from RefSeq and is a predicted model, not a curated record.